This 253-nucleotide ribosomal RNA is filed under the name uncultured bacterium. RNAcentral's name for it is "partial 16S ribosomal RNA". It matches the Rfam family "Bacterial small subunit ribosomal RNA", at positions 524 to 776 of the family's 1533-position model. The record is from RNAcentral.
UACGUAGGGGGCUAGCGUUGUCCGGAAUCAUUGGGCGUAAAGCGCGUGUAGGCGGCUUGGCAAGUCGGAUGUGAAAGCCCACGGCUCAACCGUGGAAGCGCAUCCGAAACUGCUUCGCUCGAGUCUCGGAGAGGAAGGUGGAAUGCUUGGUGUAGAGGUGAAAUUCGUAGAUAUCAAGCAGAACACCUGCGGCGAAGGCGGCCUUCUGGACGAUGACUGACGCUGAGACGCGAAAGCGUGGGGAGCAAACAGG